CUCCCUUCCUUCUCCAUUAAAUAUGAAGCACUAAGUGAACCUGCAAAGUUCGCGAGCCCACCAAAUAAGCUUGCUAAAGCACCACUUGUGAUGCCAACAUCNNNNNAAAGAUGAAAAAUAAAGAACUCCAUUUAUGCCAGCAAAUUGUUGCAGUAUAAAAAGGGAACCUCCAAUAAAUGCAACUCUAGAGUGUGGCUCCUCCAGG
This 205-nucleotide unclassified non-coding RNA is filed under the name Hevea brasiliensis (rubber tree). The record is from RNAcentral. Lineage: Eukaryota; Viridiplantae; Streptophyta; Magnoliopsida; Malpighiales; Euphorbiaceae.